AAAUAAGGGAGGAAGGAAAAUUUGCAAGGAAAAUAACCUUUUUUUUUUCCACUUGACUUAAGUUAAAGAGGAAAAUAGAGAGAGAAAAUUUUGAAAGGAAAAUAUGUGUUAGAUUUCACUCCCAUUUUCUCUCCAAAUUCAGGGGAAAGUGGAAGGAAAAUGUUUAAAAUUACAAAAAUAUACCUAUAUUUUUUAGGUUCUUUUUGAAUAUUUAGGAGUAGAAUUGUAAUUUUAUUAUUCAAAAAAAUAACAUUGUAAUUUUAUUAUUCAAAAAAAUAAC
This 280-nucleotide unclassified non-coding RNA is filed under the name Hevea brasiliensis (rubber tree). Lineage: Eukaryota; Viridiplantae; Streptophyta; Magnoliopsida; Malpighiales; Euphorbiaceae. The record is from RNAcentral.